GAUGAAGAACGUAGCGAAAUGCGAUACGUAAUGUGAAUUGCAGAAUUCAGUGAAUCAUCGAGUCUUUGAACGCACAUUGCGCCCCCUGGUAUUCCGGGGGGCAUGCCUGUCCGAGCGUCAUUGCUGCCCUCAAGCACGGCUUGUGUGUUGGGCCUCCGUCCUCCUCCCGGGGGACGGGCCCGAAAGGCAGCGGCGGCACCGCGUCCGGUCCUCGAGCGUAUGGGGCUUCGUCACCCGCUCUUGUAGGCCCGGCCGGCGCUUGCCGACACAUCAAUCUUUUUUCCAGGUUGACCUCGGAUCAGGUAGGGAUACCCGCUGAACUUAAGCAUAUCAAUAAGCCGAGGA
Molecule: unclassified non-coding RNA, 345 nt
Filed under: soil metagenome
Description: partial contains 5.8S ribosomal RNA, internal transcribed spacer 2, and large subunit ribosomal RNA
Rfam family: 5.8S ribosomal RNA (bases 1-120)
Source: RNAcentral